GGAGAGUUUGAUCCUGGCUCAGGAUGAACGCUGGCGGCGUGCCUAAUACAUGCAAGUCGAGCGAACGGACGAGAAGCUUGCUUCUCUGAUGUUAGCGGCGGACGGGUGAGUAACACGUGGAUAACCUACCUAUAAGACUGGGAUAACUUCGGGAAACCGGAGCUAAUACCGGAUAAUAUUUUGAACCGCAUGGUUCAAAAGUGAAAGACGGUCUUGCUGUCACUUAUAGAUGGAUCCGCGCUGCAUUAGCUAGUUGGUAAGGUAACGGCUUACCAAGGCAACGAUGCAUAGCCGACCUGAGAGGGUGAUCGGCCACACUGGAACUGAGACACGGUCCAGACUCCUACGGGAGGCAGCAGUAGGGAAUCUUCCGCAAUGGGCGAAAGCCUGACGGAGCAACGCCGCGUGAGUGAUGAAGGUCUUCGGAUCGUAAAACUCUGUUAUUAGGGAAGAACAUAUGUGUAAGUAACUGUGCACAUCUUGACGGUACCUAAUCAGAAAGCCACGGCUAACUACGUGCCAGCAGCCGCGGUAAUACGUAGGUGGCAAGCGUUAUCCGGAAUUAUUGGGCGUAAAGCGCGCGUAGGCGGUUUUUUAAGUCUGAUGUGAAAGCCCACGGCUCAACCGUGGAGGGUCAUUGGAAACUGGAAAACUUGAGUGCAGAAGAGGAAAGUGGAAUUCCAUGUGUAGCGGUGAAAUGCGCAGAGAUAUGGAGGAACACCAGUGGCGAAGGCGACUUUCUGGUCUGUAACUGACGCUGAUGUGCGAAAGCGUGGGGAUCAAACAGGAUUAGAUACCCUGGUAGUCCACGCCGUAAACGAUGAGUGCUAAGUGUUAGGGGGUUUCCGCCCCUUAGUGCUGCAGCUAACGCAUUAAGCACUCCGCCUGGGGAGUACGACCGCAAGGUUGAAACUCAAAGGAAUUGACGGGGACCCGCACAAGCGGUGGAGCAUGUGGUUUAAUUCGAAGCAACGCGAAGAACCUUACCAAAUCUUGACAUCCUUUGACAACUCUAGAGAUAGAGCCUUCCCCUUCGGGGGACAAAGUGACAGGUGGUGCAUGGUUGUCGUCAGCUCGUGUCGUGAGAUGUUGGGUUAAGUCCCGCAACGAGCGCAACCCUUAAGCUUAGUUGCCAUCAUUAAGUUGGGCACUCUAAGUUGACUGCCGGUGACAAACCGGAGGAAGGUGGGGAUGACGUCAAAUCAUCAUGCCCCUUAUGAUUUGGGCUACACACGUGC
Molecule: ribosomal RNA, 1238 nt
Filed under: Staphylococcus aureus
Lineage: Bacteria; Bacillati; Bacillota; Bacilli; Caryophanales; Staphylococcaceae
Description: bacterial SSU rRNA
Rfam family: Bacterial small subunit ribosomal RNA
Source: RNAcentral